Podarcis lilfordi (Lilford's wall lizard) is the source of this 66-nucleotide non-coding RNA. The record is from the annotation of a GenBank genome assembly. NCBI's taxonomy places the organism in Eukaryota, Metazoa, Chordata, Lepidosauria, Squamata, Lacertidae.
GGGGCUCAGUGGCAGAGAAACUGUUUUGCAUGCAGAAGGUCCUGGGUUCAAUACCUGGCAUGUCCA